This 447-nucleotide ribosomal RNA is filed under the name uncultured bacterium. Its description in RNAcentral is "bacterial SSU rRNA". It matches the Rfam family "Bacterial small subunit ribosomal RNA", at positions 355 to 825 of the family's 1533-position model. The record is from RNAcentral.
UCGAGGAUCUUCGUCAAUGGGGGAAACCCUGACCCAGCAACGCCGCGUGAAGGAUGAAGUAUUUCGGUAUGUAAACUUCGAAAGAAUAGGAAGAAUAAAUGACGGUACUAUUUAUAAGGUCCGGCUAACUACGUGCCAGCAGCCGCGGUAAUACGUAGGGACCAAGCGUUGUUCGGAUUUACUGGGCGUAAAGGGCGCGUAGGCGGCAUGACAAGUCACUUGUGAAAUCUCUGGGCUUAACCCAGAACGGCCAAGUGAUACUGUCGCGCUAGAGUGCAGAAGGGGCAAUCGGAAUUCUUGGUGUAGCGGUGAAAUGCGUAGAUAUCAAGAGGAACACCUGAGGUGAAGACGGGUUGCUGGGCUGACACUGACGCUGAGGCGCGAAAGCCAGGGGAGCAAACGGGAUUAGAUACCCAUGUAGUCCCUGAGCGGGCUGGCAAGGCGCAU